AGUGGACAAAUGCCCUCUUAGCAUACAUGAGAUCAAAUUUGUGGUCAAUGCGCGAGAACACCUCUGCAACAGCAGUAUUGUUACUGAUCAUGCAGACAGCUCGUUGCACCUUGGCCAGAUCACCCCCAGGUACUACUGUUGGAGGCUGGUAGUUGAUUCCACAUUUGAAGCCAGUUGGGCACCUGUUCAAAUCCAAAACCAAAAAAAUUACGAUUUGGUGGCAUCCACGUUAGAGAAGGGGUGGACAGGAAUUUGGCAGUAAAAGAAAUUACUAACAGAACGUUAACAUGCAGCGAGAGCAUUCUGCCUUGGAGAUAAAAAGACAUGCAAAGAGUGAACCUCACAUGGUUUAGACACAUCAUGCCUAGUCUGUAAACAUACAAGUCACAUCAUGCCUAGUCUGUAAAAGGUACAAGUCAAAUAGGAUAUUCAACAGCACCCAGGCACUAAUAUAUUGAAGUUGAUCCCAACAAAGCUCCACAUACUUCUUGAAGCGUGGGCCACAUGUUCAUGCAAUGAUGGACCAGAACACUAAAUCAUGCUAAAUAACAAUAUCAUUGCCAGGUACCAGCUAAACAUCUGUUACUCUCAAACUAAGCAAUACUAACCACACUCCCAACCAUUGAUCACAUGUAUUCCCAAUAUACUCCCAUUAGUGCACUUGAUUACGACUAAAUAGUGCAUAUCAGACAAUUGUUUCUUGAGAAGAAAAAAACAUGUUGCUAAAUGGGUUCCGAAUCAUGUAACUCUACCUAUAAAGGGUGUCAAUGGAACAAGAUGGGGGAACAAACAGGAUCAGAUUUAAAAACUUGUUUACAAAUGUAGUUUUUGGUUCACUGAUUAAAGGCCUUUCCUUUUUACCAUCAAAUUCUAAUCAAAGGAUCUAAUUUAGAUCAAAUUACCUAUAAGGCCACUAAACAGCUAGUGUCUAAGUAGUUUAUUAUAACAAGAAAGGCUCGUGCUUGCAACUAGUGCAAAAUACUUACCAGUCAACAAACUGAACAGUCCUCUUCGUUUUAAUAGUAGCCACAGCAGCAUUGACAUCCUUGGGAACAACAUCUCCGCGGUACAUGAGGCAGCAAGCCAUAUAUUUUCCAUGCCUUGGAUCACACUUAGCCAUCAUACUUGAGGGCUCAAAAACUGCAUUUGUUAUCUCAGGGACAGAUAGCUGUUCAUGGAAUGCCUUUUCUGCUGAGAUUACAGGGGCAUAGGAUGAAAGCAUAA
Molecule: long non-coding RNA, 1224 nt
Filed under: Nicotiana tabacum (common tobacco)
Lineage: Eukaryota; Viridiplantae; Streptophyta; Magnoliopsida; Solanales; Solanaceae
Description: long non-coding RNA (NTAB_LNC010720)
Source: RNAcentral